GCUGUGGGGGACCGGUUGGGGAGCCAGAGAUGAUGGCUCUGGGGUCAGGCGCCCAGGGCAGCCUCUGGAAGCAGAGAAGGCUCAACCACUCUCCCCUGCUGCUCAUCCUGGAAGGGGUGUGCAAGGUCACAGAGUUAAAGGAAACGAGAGGAGUCGCAAACUAUGGGGCUGCUGGUUGCUGCAGGGAACACAAGCAAGCAGGAGAGGGUUAGCCACGGUGGAAGCCAUCCAUGGUGUGCCCUUAAUCUCGGGAAACCUCCUUCUCAGUGGAUCAAGCCCCGCCUCUCAGGCUUUGUGGUUUACAGCCCCGCACUGAGUCUUCGGUGGAGCACUGAGUCUUCGGCAGAGCACAUCCCAAAACGAAAUAAGCAGCAGGGAGUGCGCUGAGAAGAGCGGCCCCGCCGUGGGCUUCUCCCCACCUGCUGGACUGGGCUGGGCUGGUUGUUGACUUGGCCAUCCAGCCACUCUCCAGACAGAGUGGGACUUUCUAAGUAAAGUCACACUCACGGGUGCCGGGUGGACAUAAGUUUUGGGGUACACUCUUCAGCUCACUGCAGAGAUCACUGGGGAGGUCUCACAGUGAGGCCUGUGGAGAGAUUUUGGAGGGGGACUCCUGGGGCUGAGUGGGUUCUGGUCACAAAUGUGAUGGAAGGAGUGGCCCCCGCAGCGGGUCUCAGACUGGACGGUCAAUGUUUCUCAGUGCAGCUGCAGCUGUCUGGACCACACCUCCCGUGCCUGCAGCCCAACUUGGGUCUAUUCAUCCGACUUAUAUUCCAGGCCUGUGGGGGGCGAGGGUGGGGAGAAGCUGAUUCGGUACAGCUGACCCGGCUCCUUCCUGCAACUUCCCAAGCCCCUGUGGCCUGCGAAGCUGAGCUGAGAGGCUACCUAAAGCCAGGGAUGGACAGAAGGCCUGUCUUGAUGGGAAGGGUGGGAGGACGGAAGCAGUGGGCUUCUGUUCCCACAGUCCUGCAGAGCCGAAAUGUCCACCAGCCAGCCCUGCUCUCUGUGAGCUUCUGGCAUUGUUUGGAAACAUGAGGUGCCCCAUCUCUGGCCCCAGAUUCCAGCCUGGGAAUCCAGGAGGUGGCUGAGUCAGUUUCAGGAAAGCCUAGAUCAGGGCGCCCUGGGGCUACCAGGAGGACUCUGGAGAGAGAAGUGGAAGCAAGAGGCUGCAAGAGACAAACUGGACACUGCAGUGCCCAGCCCCACGUGGCAGAGGGAGUGGGGCCAGUGAGCACUCCCAGCUCCACAUGCAGAGGGAGCAGAGUGGGUGAGCAGCUUAUAGGGGCUUGCACACCUCGCUGAGUGUUAAGCAUAUGUGAAGGUACCGGGCUCACCUGGAGGAUUCAGGCUCAGCCAGAGGCCUCCUGGACAUGAGGUCACCAACUCCACCCCAGGAUACUUCCAUUUCCCUGCUGGGGCGGGGCAGGGGCAGCGUGGUGGACCUGUGUGUUAAUCGGAGCUUUCUGGGAGUGUGGAGGACCAGCAUUGAGUAUCACUGCCUGGGAUCUGAGCUUGGCCGUCAAAGACAUUAGCCACUAGCUGUGUCUGUCCAUUUGAAUUUAACGAAAUAAAAUGGAAAGUGCGG
Callithrix jacchus (white-tufted-ear marmoset) is the source of this 1585-nucleotide non-coding RNA. The record is from RefSeq and is a predicted model, not a curated record. NCBI's taxonomy places the organism in Eukaryota, Metazoa, Chordata, Mammalia, Primates, Cebidae.